AAGGUGCUGCAUGGUUGUCGUCAGCUCGUGCCGUGAGGUGUCGGGUUAAGUCCCAUAACGAGCGCAACCCUUACCGUUAGUUACCAUCAGGUUAAGCUGGGGACUCUAGCGGGACUGCCACCGUAAGGUGAGAGGAAGGUGGGGAUGACGUCAAAUCAGCACGGCCCUUAUGUCCAGGGCUACACACGUGUUACAAUGGCCGGUACAAAGGGCAGCUACUUCGCGAGAAGAUGCUAAUCUCGAAAGCCGGUCUCAGUUCGGAUCGAAGUCUGCAACCCGACUUCGUGAAGCUGGAUUCGCUAGUAAUCGCGCAUCAGCCAUGGCGCGGUGAAUACGUUCCCGGGCCUU
Molecule: ribosomal RNA, 348 nt
Filed under: uncultured Sphingobacteriales bacterium
Lineage: Bacteria; Pseudomonadati; Bacteroidota; Sphingobacteriia; Sphingobacteriales
Description: bacterial SSU rRNA
Rfam family: Bacterial small subunit ribosomal RNA
Source: RNAcentral